UUGAUUGGAGCUCUUCCAGGGCUUCCUUCCUGGGCCAUAGACCCCUCUGAGGCCAUUCGCCUCUGUUCCAGUUCGGCUCUCCUGGACCCCUCUGGAUGGCUAGGUUGUUCCUCCUCAGUCUGCAUUGAUUGGAGCUGGGACCGAAGCCCCCAUUCCAGAAACCGGACCAGGAGAUAGGCAAACAAGAAGAAGCCACCCAAUGUGAGAAAGAAAUAAGCAACAGGGGUGAUGUCCGUCUUUAUGCCCAGCAAAGCCAGCCCCAGUAGGAAGGAGGCGCAGCACAGGAGGAGAAGCGGCUUCUCCAGUCUCCCCAGUUCUUCAAUCUCAAAUCAAAUAAAUAAUCUGUAGAGUCCCCUCCAGCUCCGAAAUUCUCUCUAUGUCUUGGAGUGUGUGGAAUAGCCAGGAAACCAGCCCAGGAGCUUUGACUCCCAGCCAUUCUGCACCGUAAGCAAAAAGGAAGUUAGCCACACAUGGUGGCUCAUAACUAUAGUCUCGGCUACGUGGGAGGCAAGGGGAGAGGAUCUCUUGAGCCCAGGAGUUCGAGGCCAGCCUAGGCAAUGUAGUAAGACCCUGUUCUUAAAUUUUUUUAAAAAGCAA
RNAcentral lists this non-coding RNA (597 nucleotides) under Pongo abelii (Sumatran orangutan). The record is from RNAcentral. Lineage: Eukaryota; Metazoa; Chordata; Mammalia; Primates; Hominidae.